AAAUGAAUAGACGGGGGCCCGCACAAGCAGUGGAGUAUGUGGUUUAAUUCGAAGCAACGCGAAGAACCUUACCGGGGCUUGACAUCCCAAUGACCGGCGUAGAGAUACGCCUUCCCUUCGGGGCAUUGGUGACAGGUGGUGCAUGGUUGUCGUCAGCUCGUGUCGUGAGAUGUUGGGUUAAGUCCCGCAACGAGCGCAACCCUUAUCAUUAGUUGCUACAUUAAGUUGAGCACUCUAACGAGACUGCCCUUGUAAGAGGGAGGAAGGUGGGGAUGACGUCAAAUCAUCAUGCCCUUUAUGUCCCGGGCUACACACGUACUACAAUGGCAUUCAACAAUGAGUUGCGAACCCGCGAGGGGGAGCUAAUCUCCAAAAAGUGCCUCAGUUCAGAUUGCAGGCUGCAACUCGCCUGCAUGAAGUCGGAAUUGCUAGUAAUCGUGAAUCAGCAUGUCACGGUGAAUACGUUCCCGGGCCUUGUACACACCGCCCGU
RNAcentral lists this ribosomal RNA (491 nucleotides) under uncultured bacterium. Its description in RNAcentral is "bacterial SSU rRNA". It matches the Rfam family "Bacterial small subunit ribosomal RNA", at positions 903 to 1397 of the family's 1533-position model. The record is from RNAcentral.